GACGAACGCUGGCGGCGUGCUUAACACAUGCAAGUCGAACGGAAAGGCCCUGCUUUUGUGGGGUUCUCGAGUGGCGAACGGGUGAGUAACACGUGAGUAACCUGCCCUUGACUUUGGGAUAACUUCAGGAAACUGGGGCUAAUACCGGAUAGGAGCUCCUGCUGCAUGGUGGGGGUUGGAAAUUUUCGGCGGUUGGGGAUGGACUCGCGGCUUAUCAGCUUGUUGGUGGGGGAGUGGCUUACCAAGGCUUUGACGGGUAGCCGGCCUGAGAGGGUGACCGGGCACAUUGGGACUGAGAUACGGACCAGACUCCUACGGGAGGCAGCAGUGGGGAAUAUUGCACAAUGGGAGGAAGCCUGAUGCAGCAACGCCGCGUGCGGGAUGACGGCCUUCGGGUUGUAAACAGCUUUCGCCUGUGACGACGCGUGAGUGACGGUAAUGGGUAAAGAAGCACCGGCUAACUACGUG
This 468-nucleotide ribosomal RNA is filed under the name uncultured bacterium. Its description in RNAcentral is "partial 16S ribosomal RNA". It matches the Rfam family "Bacterial small subunit ribosomal RNA", at positions 28 to 507 of the family's 1533-position model. The record is from RNAcentral.